Molecule: long non-coding RNA, 1287 nt
Organism: Triticum aestivum (bread wheat)
Lineage: Eukaryota; Viridiplantae; Streptophyta; Magnoliopsida; Poales; Poaceae
Exons: 4
Source: RefSeq, a predicted model, not a curated record
ACGCUGCCUCCCUCUCUCUCUCCCCGAUCUAGAUCCACGCCCCGCGCCCAUGCCCCCAACCCCACCCCCUUCUCCUUCCACCGGCCUUCUUCCUCGCCGCAGGUGCCACUGCUCGUCUCCUCUCCGGUGAGUGCGGAGGAGCCACCGCGGUCGAGGCAGCCGCCGGCUGGAGCCCCGCCUCUUCUCCUCUCCGGUCAACAUGGAGGUCCGCCGCAUCCAACCUCCUGCUGCCUGCUCACCGUCGGCGCCCUCCUCGUCUUCUCCUCCGCUCCCCCUCGCCGCCGCGCCCCAUCACCGGCCCGCCCUCCAACCCUAGUAGCGCCACCACCUCCUUCGUCGCCUCACUCGACCACUUCCUCGACUCCCCCCACCGCGUCGCCACCUCCUCCGCGGCGCCCGGGGACCUCGACGCCGCGAUCCAGAGGGAGGAGUAGUCCCGGCUGUACGGGGACCCCCGGGGCGCGUGGCCGGCGGCGCCCGCGCCGCUCAGGGUCUACGUGUACGAGUUGCCACGCCGCCGCCCCCGAGGGACCCCCCUCCCCGCCGCAGCUGGCUCUGCUAGACUGCCCCGGAGCGGGGGAGAUCUGCGCCGACCUUGGCUCCCCCCUCCUCCUCUGGUGACGAACCCUAACUCUCCCGGUCAUAAACUAGCACAACUAACAGAUGAGGAGCUGCUGAUUGAAGCUCGGCCAUUUGAUGUGAACAUUUUGCAUUCCUUCCGUGCUUAAGAUGGCGGUUGGACUAACAUCCCAGCUGUUCAAGGAGUUACUGCUAGCAACAGAUUCGACCUGCUCAGGCUGUUCAGGGACUCGUACCGCGACACCGCCAACCUCACCUCCAACGGGAGCCCCGUGCACAGGCUCAUCAAGCAGGGCGAGGCCGGAGAUGUCUGUGCGGUGAUGUCCCUGGGGUGGCGCCACUGUGCCCGACGCUUGCCCUGAUCGCCGCAGUGGUGCUUCGGUGGCUUCCAGAUCCUCUCCUGGAUGCGGUGAUGGUCACACCACAGCCGUGGUGUGGCUGAGUCUCCUCUACAGCUACAACCUGCCUCUGGUGCCCAGUUUGUGCUCGCUACCGAAGGAGCUCCAUGUUGAAGAAGAUUGAAGAGCACCAGGGUUAACACCAGGGCAGGUUGUAGAGCUUGUAAAUGUAUAGAGCUUGUAAAUGUAUCACGUGUAGAGCUUGUAGAGCUUGUAUAUGUUAGAGCUUAUUAUGUGUAGAGCUUGUAAAGUAUAUGUUAUUUGUACAAUAGGAGCUCCGUACUGAAUCUGGCUGAUAAUAUUUGGAGUA